This 72-nucleotide transfer RNA is filed under the name Camelus bactrianus (Bactrian camel). It matches the Rfam family "tRNA". Rfam says of the family: Transfer RNA (tRNA) molecules are approximately 80 nucleotides in length. Their secondary structure includes four short double-helical elements and three loops (D, anti-codon, and T loops). Further hydrogen bonds mediate the characteristic L-shaped molecular structure. tRNAs have two regions of fundamental functional importance: the anti-codon, which is responsible for specific mRNA codon recognition, and the 3' end, to which the tRNAs corresponding amino acid is attached (by aminoacyl-tRNA synthetases). tRNAs cope with the degeneracy of the genetic code in two manners: having more than one tRNA (with a specific anti-codon) for a particular amino acid; and 'wobble' base-pairing, i.e. permitting non-standard base-pairing at the 3rd anti-codon position. The record is from Rfam by way of RNAcentral. RNAcentral also lists the same sequence under 2 other names. Lineage: Eukaryota; Metazoa; Chordata; Mammalia; Artiodactyla; Camelidae.
GAGGGUAUAGCUCAGAGGUAGAGCGCAUGCUUAGCAAGCAAGGGGUCCUCAGUUCAAUCCCCAGUACCUCCA